This 253-nucleotide ribosomal RNA is filed under the name uncultured bacterium. Its description in RNAcentral is "partial 16S ribosomal RNA". It matches the Rfam family "Bacterial small subunit ribosomal RNA", at positions 524 to 776 of the family's 1533-position model. The record is from RNAcentral.
UACAGAGGGGGCAAGCGUUGUUCGGAAUUACUGGGCGUAAAGGGCUCGUAGGCGGCCAACUAAGUCGGGUGUGAAAUCCCCAGGCUUAACCUGGGAACUGCAUUCGAGACUGCAUUGCUAGAGUAUGGGAGAGGGAAGUGGAAUUUCCGGUGUAGCGGUGAAAUGCGUAGAUAUCGGAAGGAACAUCAGUGGCGAAAGCGACUUCCUGGACCAAUACUGACGCUCAUGUGCGAAAGCGUGGGGAGCAAACAGG